UACAGAGGGUGCGAGCGUUAAUCGGAAUUACUGGGCGUAAAGCGCGCGUAGGCGGCUUUGCAAGUCGAUUGUGAAAUCCCCAGGCUUAACCUGGGAACUGCAUUCGAGACUGCAUAGCUAGAGUAUGGGAGAGGGAAGUGGAAUUUCAGGUGUAGCGGUGAAAUGCGUAGAUAUCUGAAGGAACAUCAGUGGCGAAAGCGACUUCCUGGACCAAUACUGACGCUCAUGUGCGAAAGCGUGGGGAGCAAACAGG
RNAcentral lists this ribosomal RNA (253 nucleotides) under uncultured bacterium. RNAcentral's name for it is "partial 16S ribosomal RNA". It matches the Rfam family "Bacterial small subunit ribosomal RNA", at positions 524 to 776 of the family's 1533-position model. The record is from RNAcentral.